This 292-nucleotide ribosomal RNA is filed under the name uncultured bacterium. RNAcentral describes it as "partial 16S ribosomal RNA". It matches the Rfam family "Bacterial small subunit ribosomal RNA", at positions 505 to 796 of the family's 1533-position model. The record is from RNAcentral.
GUGUCAGCAGCCGCGGUAAUACGGAAGGGGCUAGCGUUGUUCGGAAUCACUGGGCGUAAAGCGCGCGUAGGCGGCUUGGCAAGUGAGGCGUGAAAGUCCUGGGCUCAACCCGGGGACGGCGCUUCAGACUGCGGGGCUAGAGUCCGGAAGAGGGUGGUGGAAUUCCGAGUGUAGAGGUGAAAUUCGUAGAUAUUCGGAGGAACACCGGCGGCGAAGGCGGCCACCUGGUCCGGAACUGACGCUCAAGUGCGAAAGCGUGGGGAGCAAACAGGAUUAGAUACCCUGGUAGUCC